RNAcentral lists this non-coding RNA (28 nucleotides) under Homo sapiens (human). Lineage: Eukaryota; Metazoa; Chordata; Mammalia; Primates; Hominidae. The record is from RNAcentral.
UGGGAAGAAACAGGGUUUUGCUCAGUCU